GUUUCAAGAUGGCGGAGCGAAUUUCAUGGUUAUUGUUUCUACUCGAUGGAUUCGCAGAUAAUUCGGAAAUAGAUCAGAUUGGGAUCAAUAACUUUAUUGCAUACGAUCAUUUACAUGUAUUACCAGGUGUGUGUUGCCAGUAAUGGUUGAAGAUAUGCCAAACAAAUUGUGCCUCUCUAUACAGACAGAUUUCAGGUCUCAAUUUCAACUUCAAAGGUCAACACAUCACUGAUAUCAGGAAUUCUGUGAAACUGUGGCACCAUGAAUGGUACGUGAGCGCACAAUGUCUGUUGGAAAAAGGAUAUUGGAAUAAGCAAAGGGACUCAACAUUACACAGUUAUUUCAACAUGUAGAGUCUUGUCAGCAAUGAUGGAGCAGUACAUCAGAUUUCCAGAAUCUCGUCAUGAGCUGAAGAUCAUUGCCUAUGGAUUUCAUGAAUGAUGUAGAAUGAUUGGACUGUUGAUGGAACCCACAGUGCAUGUCCUGCUUCAACAUCUGAGCAUAGGUCCUUGUUUAUCAGCAGUUUAGUUCUUCAAGCAGUCUGUGACAGUAACUUGAAAUGUUUGGACAUAUGACCUGGUUGGCCAAGUUCUGUGCAUGAUGCCCAUUUAAAUAGGAACGGCCCAGUGGCGCAUUAAAUGGACAUUUUUUUAAUGUUCUUGAGGAUUCAGCUUACCGCCUGACAAGAAAUCUUGCUUUUUGUUCCGUAUCGAGGCCAUGGACAUUUGUAUCAUUUGCAAAAGAUACUGCAAUAUUUGUGCCUUUGUUCAUGCUUUAUAGUUGAUUAACAAUUGGAAGCCAUAACCUGUUUUAUAGGAUGGUGUUAGUGGGACAAUGAAUUUUGUAAAGAUUUAAAGACUGGAAAAGAUAAUUAAAAGUCAAAAGAGUUCUGCUAUUGUUAAGCAUGCUUUAUUGAUUUGUAAUGUUAGAAAGAUAGCAUUAUUAACAGAAUAAAAUGUCCAUACUUUGAA
Dreissena polymorpha is the source of this 971-nucleotide long non-coding RNA. RefSeq lists it as uncharacterized. NCBI's taxonomy places the organism in Eukaryota, Metazoa, Mollusca, Bivalvia, Myida, Dreissenidae. The record is from RefSeq and is a predicted model, not a curated record. The transcript is spliced from 4 exons.